Chelonoidis abingdonii (Abingdon island giant tortoise) is the source of this 320-nucleotide non-coding RNA. Lineage: Eukaryota; Metazoa; Chordata; Testudines; Testudinidae. The record is from RefSeq and is a predicted model, not a curated record.
CUCCCAUUCAUAGGCUGGGUAUGUCUACACUAGAAAAUUAGAUCGAAUUUACAGAAGUCGAUCUUUAGAAAGCGAUUUUAUGCAGUCAGUCAUGUAUGUCCCCAUUAAGUGCAGUAGGUCAGUGGAGUGUGUCCUCAGUACCAUGGCUAGGAGUGGUGCACUGUGGAUAGCUAUCCCGCAGUCUCUGCCAUCCAUUGGAAUUCUGGGUUAAGCUCCCAAUGUCUGAUGAGGCAGAAACAUUGUCGCGGGUGGUUUUAGGUACAUGGUGUCAGUCGUCCCUCCCUCAGUCAAAGCAACGGCAGACAAUUGUCUCACGCCUU